Molecule: unclassified non-coding RNA, 284 nt
Filed under: Hevea brasiliensis (rubber tree)
Lineage: Eukaryota; Viridiplantae; Streptophyta; Magnoliopsida; Malpighiales; Euphorbiaceae
Source: RNAcentral
GGGAAAAACUAUUGGAUUAGCGAAAUGAAGGAGGUUUUGGAGAAGUGUGUGGAUUCACAGCUAUGGCACGCCUGUGCAGGAGGAAUGGUGCAAAUCCCUCCGGUUAACUCCAAAGUCUACUAUUUUCCACAAGGGCAUGCUGAGCAUACUCUUAUGAAUGUGGAUUUCUCAGCUCUACCAAGAAGUCCUGCUCUGAUUCUAUGCAGAGUAGCUGCUGUGAAGUUCUUAGCGGACCCUGAAACAGAUGAGGUUUAUGCUAAGAUUAGGGUUGUCCCAGUUGGGAA